RNAcentral lists this ribosomal RNA (495 nucleotides) under uncultured bacterium. RNAcentral's name for it is "partial 16S ribosomal RNA". It matches the Rfam family "Bacterial small subunit ribosomal RNA", at positions 28 to 507 of the family's 1533-position model. The record is from RNAcentral.
GACGAACGCUGGCGGCGUGCCUAAUACAUGCAAGUAGAACGCUGAAGGAGGAGCUUGCUUCUCUGGAUGAGUUGCGAACGGGUGAGUAACGCGUAGGUAACCUGCCUGGUAGCGGGGGAUAACUAUUGGAAACGAUAGCUAAUACCGCAUAAGAGUAGAUGUUGCAUGACAUUUGCUUAAAAGGUGCAAUUGCAUCACUACCAGAUGGACCUGCGUUGUAUUAGCUAGUUGGUGGGGUAACGGCUUACCAAGGCGACGAUACAUAGCCGACCUGAGAGGGUGAUUGGCCACACUGGGACUGAGACACGGCCCAGACUCCUACGGGAGGCAGCAGGAGGGAAUCUUCGGCAAUGGACGGAAGUCUGACCGAGCAACGCCGCGUGAGUGAAGAAGGUUUUCGGAUCGUAAAGCUCUGUUGUAAGAGAAGAACGAGUGUGAGAGUGGAAAGUUCACACUGUGACGGUAUCUUACCAGAAAGGGACGGCUAACUACGUG